Molecule: ribosomal RNA, 328 nt
Filed under: Candidatus Mycoplasma turicense
Lineage: Bacteria; Bacillati; Mycoplasmatota; Mollicutes; Mycoplasmatales; Mycoplasmataceae
Description: bacterial SSU rRNA
Rfam family: Bacterial small subunit ribosomal RNA
Source: RNAcentral
AGGUAGCUGGUCUAAGAGGAUGAACAGCCACAAUGGGAUUGAGAUACGGCCCAUAUUCCUACGGGAAGCAGCAGUAGGGAAUCUUCCACAAUGGACGAAAGUCUGAUGGAGCAAUGCCAUGUGAACGACGAAGGCCAGACAGGUCGUAAAGUUCUUUUAGAGGGGAAAAAUCUGAUGGUACCCUCUGAAUAAGUGACAGCAAACUAUGUGCCAGCAGCUGCGGUAAUACAUAGGUCGCGAGCGUUAUUCGGAUUUAUUGGGCGUAAAGCAAGCGCAGGCGGAUGAAUAAGUUCUGCAUUAAAAGCAGCUGCUUAACAGUUGUUUGUGC